Long non-coding RNA from Haliotis rubra (blacklip abalone), 225 nucleotides. RefSeq lists it as uncharacterized. The record is from RefSeq and is a predicted model, not a curated record. NCBI's taxonomy places the organism in Eukaryota, Metazoa, Mollusca, Gastropoda, Lepetellida, Haliotidae. The transcript has 3 exons.
GUUUUCUAUAGAUACCAACAACGAGUAGGUUAUUUGUCAUGUGUGGAUCUUUUCAAAAUAUUUGAUGCUAUGGUUAAAUCUUUUCUUUGUUACGGUUCAGACGUUUGGGGUGUCAUUCAUUGUAAAACCAAUGAACAAAUCCAGAUAAAACAUGUUAAUAUUUCUGAAAAGUUGGCAAAAUACUUGUAACAAAAUAUGGUUCAUUGUGAAUAGUCAUAAGAAACA